This 706-nucleotide ribosomal RNA is filed under the name uncultured Bacteroidales bacterium. RNAcentral describes it as "bacterial SSU rRNA". It matches the Rfam family "Bacterial small subunit ribosomal RNA", at positions 49 to 744 of the family's 1533-position model. The record is from RNAcentral. Lineage: Bacteria; Pseudomonadati; Bacteroidota; Bacteroidia; Bacteroidales.
UAACACAUGCAAGUCGAGGGGCAGCAUGGUCUUAGCUUGCUAAGGCCGAUGGCGACCGGCGCACGGGUGAGUAACACGUAUCCAACCUGCCGUCUACUCUUGGACAGCCUUCUGAAAGGAAGAUUAAUACAAGAUGGCAUCAUGAGUCCGCAUGUUCACAUGAUUAAAGGUAUUCCGGUAGACGAUGGGGAUGCGUUCCAUUAGAUAGUAGGCGGGGUAACGGCCCACCUAGCCUUCGAUGGAUAGGGGUUCUGAGAGGAAGGUCCCCCACAUUGGAACUGAGACACGGUCCAAACUCCUACGGGAGGCAGCAGUGAGGAAUAUUGGUCAAUGGGCGAGAGCCUGAACCAGCCAAGUAGCGUGAAGGAUGACUGCCCUAUGGGUUGUAAACUUCUUUUAUAAAGGAAUAAAGUCGGGUAUGCAUACCCGUUUGCAUGUACUUUAUGAAUAAGGAUCGGCUAACUCCGUGCCAGCAGCCGCGGUAAUACGGGAGGAUCCGAGCGUUAUCCGGAUUUAUUGGGUUUAAAGGGAGCGUAGAUGGAUGUUUAAGUCAGUUGUGAAAGUUUGCGGCUCAACCGUAAAAUUGCAGUUGAUACUGGAUAUCUUGAGUGCAGUUGAGGCAGGCGGAAUUCGUGGUGUAGCGGUGAAAUGCUUAGAUAUCACGAAGACUCCGAUUGCGAAGGCAGCCUGCUAAGCUGCAACUGAC